This is a long non-coding RNA of Bombus impatiens (common eastern bumble bee), 440 nucleotides long. RefSeq lists it as uncharacterized. The record is from RefSeq and is a predicted model, not a curated record. The transcript is spliced from 2 exons. Lineage: Eukaryota; Metazoa; Arthropoda; Insecta; Hymenoptera; Apidae.
UCUGAAAAUAGACAACAGUUUCAACAAAUAGAACAAAAUAAAUUAAUCCUUUCGCAUCGGAGGACGAAAUAUCUCGCCACGUAAUUCGUUCAUAUAAAAAUAUUCGUUCAUAUGCAUGAAGCUUCGGAAGAGAUAUUUCGUGUGUCCUGUCGUUGGAAAACAUGCGAUACGUGUCGUCCAACGACUCGCAUAAAAAUCAAUUCGUAAGACACUGCGUUUGUGAACGUAAAGAGAAUUAGGAAUGUUAAAUGAAGGAAAUGUUGUAUGAAAUAGUUGAAAGCAUGACCGAUGUGCGACUUUCAGUCGUAAACAUUGAAAAACGGGAACGUGAAAUAUUUCAUUCAAAACAUCACAUGAACAAUAUUGGAACAACAUUACAUGGCGAGAUAUUUUAUACAUUGAUAUAAAGGGAUUAAUAAAGGUACUAUAAUUCUUAAUUA